Long non-coding RNA from Carassius carassius (crucian carp), 1360 nucleotides. RefSeq lists it as uncharacterized. The transcript is spliced from 2 exons. The record is from RefSeq and is a predicted model, not a curated record. Lineage: Eukaryota; Metazoa; Chordata; Actinopteri; Cypriniformes; Cyprinidae.
CAAUGAUCUUAGAGGAGGGCGGAGACGUCAGACUGUUCUGGGAGGCUCGUGGAUGUGGACCGGAGCUCGUGCCGCUGCGCUGAGCUGCGUGAAAAUACGAUAAACCUGUCGCUAGCUUUCAGCUACGCGAGCUUUAGCAGGUCGUACGCGACAGAAUCUAGAUUUAAGCGAGUAUCGAGAGGACCAAAAACUUGAAUGACAUUGUAUAAGCUCGAGUGUUUGCAGAAAUAAGGCGAAAGAUAGAUAGUUUGGACGCAGGCUAACUGGCUAAGUGAGCCGUCGGCAAGACCCCACCACCCAAAGAUCGAAACGGAGAUUAAAGCCAACAUCUAAUCUAUCAAAGAGGAUAACCGAUGUCACACAUACCAAUCCUCUAAAGCAGCGACGCCAAUGAACUGACGGGUGGAGUUUAUUUCCAUUCUCUCCAGCACACCCACUGGAAGGCCCCAACAUUGGCUGAGUGUGUGGAUACUCUGUGUUUGAGUGUGCGUAUGGUCAGCUGAAAGACGAGAGAACUUCACAGUGUCAGAGAAGAAAGCGCAGGCAUGGCUCAAGGCACUCCCCUGAGGCCGCGUCCCCCUGAGCUACUUAUGUAAUGCCUUCUCAUCUUCUAAAAGACGGCAGCUGGGCCUGAUAAACUCACACGUACACAUUCAAGGAAGUCUCUGAAGUGUCCCAAGGGAGAAGUUGAACUCUUGUCCAUUGUUUUCUGUUUGACCUCAUCCUCCUUCAGUCUUCACAUACUCACCUGUGAAUCCCAGGAUUCCUCUGAGCUCCAAAGUCGUCUUUUCGGAAUCGCUCCACUGACCUGGAUCGGUUCCCAGGAGUUUUGAGGUGUGUGCAAGCUAAGCGCUGCUCUUUCACCUGUUUUUUUUUUUUUGUCUCUGUGCAAGCUCCAUUAAGAGAGGUGUUUUAGGUGGAGCAUUCCUCUCAUUUAAUGCACCUUGACUCAAAAAGCGAAAAUUUGAUCUAAUCAGCCAUGCAGGUGUAAGCCUGCUUACUUGGGAAGAUACUGGCCUGUCCUUCGAAACGAAACUGUGGAUUAGCAAUGCUUCGACUCAGGAGAGAGACACUUGAGGUUCCAUUAUUUAAGGUGCAUUGUAGCACACUUGUUGGUUGAAAUGAAGGAAAGACAUUUUUAUAUUUUUUGAGUGUGGAUGGUGGGGGGAAAUUGUUAACGGUUGGUUCCUUCAUUGUCGUUGCUCCCUUCAAAACUGAACUGCACCAAAACAGAGAAAAAUCCUCCUGUCCCUCUUUUUGUCUUUUGCAGUUUCAUUUUUUUUUAUUUUUUUUAUCUGUUUUGGUCUUUGUUUUUUCAACUCCCAGUCCACAGCAGAAAAACUCCAGAACAUUAAUAGAA